GCGUAACAUUUUAGUUGGCAUUACAUUUUACUUUUUAGGUUAGUUUUCACGCUCCCCAAGGUAAUGCCUACUGAGGAAAUCUGUUCUGGUCCUGGAUCACCAACGACUUAUUGUUACCUGUUUGGAUGUUCUUUUCGUAUAGUGCUGUGAGGUAGGUAUAGCUACUCGUGGCUUAUGUUCUUAGGAAUGGACCUCAAGAUAAACACGUGGCUUAAGCUGUUGUGAGUGGACCUCAAGAUAAGACUUGUGAACAAAACGCUAAGUGUUUCGGGAUCUGAUGAGGAUUGGAUUGCUUUUUAAAAGGGCCUGCAACUUAGCGUAGCUGCUUGUGUCGACAUUAUUGUUCAAAAGUAAUUUAGAUCGUAACAUGGGAUACGUUUUGCACAAUGUUGUAGAUGCUUUAAUUGCCUGUGAUAAUAUAAGCCAACACUACGUUUUCUGAAAAUAAGUGUUUUUUCCUCAUCCCCCGCUCCAAAGAUUUGUCCCUACACUGCUUUUGAUUUUCCGAGAAGUAAUAAUGUUUUGGCAUUUUCUGCUGCCGCGGUGAUUUCCGGGGGAGUAUUUGAAAAUUGCAUUGGACCACCACUGCUGCUAAUUUGCGCUACAGGCAAUUAAAAUUCAAAAUAACUGGUAUGUCGCCACAUGUGCUCAUUCCAUCACAAGAGUUAGAAUGAAAUUAUUCCACUUCAGUAUAACAGAAUAGGCGACAUUCUGUUGUUAAAAGUAUGGCAAGU
Long non-coding RNA from Photinus pyralis (common eastern firefly), 734 nucleotides. RefSeq lists it as uncharacterized. The record is from RefSeq and is a predicted model, not a curated record. Lineage: Eukaryota; Metazoa; Arthropoda; Insecta; Coleoptera; Lampyridae. The transcript has 3 exons.